CAGAUUCAGGAGCAGCCAAGUCACCUGAAGUUUCACAUGGCUGGGGCACGCCAAAGGAAUCUGUUGAAGCUGGAAGUUCCCAUGAUUGGGGCCUGCCAGAUUCAGAAUCAGCCAAGUCACCUGAAGUUUCUCACGGCUGGGGCUUGUCCAAAGAGUCUAUUAAAGCAGCAAGUUCCCAGGGAUGGGGACUGCAAACUUCAGG
RNAcentral lists this unclassified non-coding RNA (202 nucleotides) under Hevea brasiliensis (rubber tree). The record is from RNAcentral. Lineage: Eukaryota; Viridiplantae; Streptophyta; Magnoliopsida; Malpighiales; Euphorbiaceae.